Molecule: ribosomal RNA, 2061 nt
Filed under: Triticum aestivum (bread wheat)
Lineage: Eukaryota; Viridiplantae; Streptophyta; Magnoliopsida; Poales; Poaceae
Description: partial small subunit ribosomal RNA
Source: RNAcentral
AUGCCGCCGCCGGCGCCGCACGAGGAGUUCGAGGCCGCCGACGGCGAGGCAUACAAGUACGCAGAGCACGAGCCUAAGCUCGCCGAGUUCCUCUGCAGUUUCCACUCCGACGACCUCCGCCGCAUCCUCCUCCACCCCGAGUCCACGCUCCACUUCCCCCUCGUCAUCGACUUCGCGGAGCUCCUGGACUUCGACCCCGGCUUGGCCAAAAUACUCUACAACGACCCCAAGGGCUUCCUCCCCGCCUUCGACAUCGCCGCUCAGGGCGCCCAGAGCGAGGUGUUGCGCAUCCUCCGAAAGGGCGAGGCGUUGGGUAAUCCGGACGAGUUGAGGCCCGCUGCCGUGCAGAAGGGGUUCGUGCACGUGCGCGUCAACGUCUGCGGGUCGCCACUGGAAUUCCCUGAGUCGUCGCCGAGCAUAGGGAAGGUGAGGGUGAAGCAUAGGGGGAUUCUGCUGACAUUGAAGGGGACUGUGAUCAGAUCAGGCGGUGUGAAGAUGAUCGAGGGCGAGCGGGAGUAUCAAUGCAGGAAAUGCAACCACAGGUUUCCCUGCUAUCCUGAGCUAGAGGCUGGGAAUCGUAUAACUCUACCUGCAUCUUGCCCAUCCAUGAGAUCAAAAGGUUGUCAAAGUGCUUCUUUCCAAUUGAUAGGAGAUAGCAUAACCUGUCAUGAUUAUCAGGAAAUAAAAAUCCAAGAAAGCGUGCAACUUCUGGAUGUUGGGUCUAUACCCCGUUCCAUGCCUGUGAUUUUGAUGGAUGACCUUGUUGAUCUUGUUAAAGCUGGAGAUGAUGUCAUUGUUACGGGUAUAUUAUCUGCAAAGUGGUCCUCUGAUGUUAAGGAUGUGCGUUGCAACCUUGAUCCUAUGUUUAUUGCCAAUUAUGUGAGGAGAACUAAUGAGCUGAAGUCUGGUAUAGACAUCCCUGAGGAAAUUAUCAAGGAUUUUGAGCUUUUCUGGGCAGAAAACAGAGCUACUCCACUAGAAGGAAGAAAUAAAAUCUUGAAAGGCAUUUGUCCUCAGAUUUUUGGGUUAUUCACGGUAAAGCUUGCAGUUGCUCUUACAUUGAUUGGUGGAGUGCAGCAUGUUGAUCCUUCUGGAACAAAGGUUCGUGGCGAACCACAUAUGCUUCUUGUUGGUGAUCCAGGUACUGGUAAAUCCCAGUUUUUGAAGUUUGCUGCUAAAUUGAGCAACCGUUCUGUGAUUACAACUGGUCUUGGAAGUACCAGUGCUGGUUUGACUGUGACUGCUGUCAAGGAUGGAGGUGAGUGGAUGCUUGAGGCUGGUGCCCUUGUUCUGGCUGAUGGUGGUUUGUGCUGCAUAGACGAAUUUGAUAGUAUGCGAGAGCAUGACAGGACAACAAUACAUGAAGCCAUGGAACAACAAACAAUAAGCGUUGCAAAGGCUGGACUGGUGACAACACUCAGUACAAGGACUACUGUCUUUGGUGCCACUAAUCCAAAAGGACAAUAUGAUUCGAAUGAAUCCUUAUCCGUGAAUACAACACUUUCAGGACCAUUGUUGAGUAGAUUUGAUAUAGUUCUUGUUCUCUUGGAUAAAAAGAACCCUAAGUUGGAUGGUAUAAUUUCAUCUCAUAUAUUAGCUCAGAGCACCAAAGCAGAAGAAAACAAGGCCAGUGACGCUGCCGUAAAAAGCACCCAACCUUUGGGUAUAAAAGAGUGGACACUCCCCUGUUUGAGAAGGUAUAUCCACUAUGUAAAACAGCGGUUCAAACCGGUGCUGACAAAGGAAGCAGAAAGUGUUAUCUCAGGCUAUUAUCAGCUUCAGCGGAGAGAUGGAACACAUAAUGCAGCGAGGACAACUGUGCGUAUGCUUGAGAGUUUGAUAAGGCUGGCACAAGCACACGCAAGACUAAUGUUCAGAAAUGAGGUUACACGGCUUGAUGCUAUUGCUGCCAUAUUAUGCAUUGAGUCCUCCAUGACAACAUCUGCAAUCAUAGACGGUGAUGGAAAUGCUCUGAACUCCAAUUUCCAAGAGAACCCUGAUCAGGAAUAUAUCAAAGAGGAGCAGAAAAUCCGUGACAAGCUUGGGGAUUACCUAUACUAA